RNAcentral lists this long non-coding RNA (16311 nucleotides) under Gossypium barbadense (sea-island cotton). Its description in RNAcentral is "long non-coding RNA (GBAR_LNC023450)". The record is from RNAcentral. Lineage: Eukaryota; Viridiplantae; Streptophyta; Magnoliopsida; Malvales; Malvaceae.
AACCCUCGAAUCUCUCUGGCCUGAACACAUUAGGCUCCUCCCAAUUGUUGGGAUCGUUUUGUAUAGCCCAUGCAUUCACCAACAACAUGGUUCCAUGCGGUAUACGGUACCCUCCCACUAAACAUUCUUUUGAUGACUCGUGAGGUACUAACAAUGGACCGGUGGGCUUGAUUCGGAAAGUCUCGUUAAUUAUGCAAUGAAGAUAAGGAAGAUUGGGCAAAUCUGAUUCUUCGAUUAACCGAUUUUGUCCGACCACUGUAUCGAUUUCAAUUCGGGCUUUGUUCAAGACUUGGGGAUGGUUCAAAAGGAAAGACAUUGCCCACUCUACUGUCCCUGAUGACGUAUCAGUUCCAGCCAAAAGUAAAACCUGUUUAACAUUUUCAAUAACCGAGUUAGGAUACUAUUUAAUGAGAGUAGACAUUAAGAACAAGAAAGCAAGAAAAACAAAAGCUUACCAUCAUGAGACUUCUAAUAGUUUCAUCCUUGUAAUUUUCAGGCUCUUGUUCUUGCAAAGACAACAUGACUUCAAUCAUGUUCUUUUUUUCGUCUGUGGAUAAACUACUUUUUUCCUAAUUUUCAUAUUAUGUCGACAUUCAUCAAUCAAUUCUUGUGUAAACGCUUCUCUUCUUUUGAACAAAUUGAUCAUCCUUUUCUCAGUUUUCUCGAACCACUUCACCAUCGGUAGAAAAUCACCCAUGUUCGUUGCACCAGCCAAAGAAAGGAUUCCCUCAUUAUUUCACGAAACCGAGUGCCUUCCUCGACGACAGCCACAUCGUCGCCAUAAUAUCUUUUCCCGGCUAUCAUCCGCAUCAUCAAAUUCAGCAUCAGCUCGAAAAGUCUGGAUUUCAAGUCCACCAUUCUAUCAUGAUCCUUGAACAGCUUCCGUAAGAGCAAACGGACUUCAUCGAGGCGUGUGGCGUAAAGCAAUUGGAGACAGUGCCCCGAAAGAAGUUGAAUCGACGAUAUACGCCUCAAGUUCUGCCAGUUAUCGCCGUAGGAAUCCCAGAUAAGGCUAGUGUAAUUAUAACCUAGAUGCUUUUCGUAUAAAAGUAAAGGGCGGUUGGCAAAGAUGAUGUCGUUUUUGGUAAAACAUUCCUCGGCAGACGAUGCUGAUGAGAUAACCACAACGGGGCGUGACCCAAAAUGGAGGAGAAGGACACGGCCAUGCUUGGCAGAGGUCUUGGCGAGGGAACGAUGGAGAGGCUUCUUGAGAAGUAAAUAGAAGUGGCCAAUUAAUGGUAAAGAGGGAAAAGGGGUGGGAGGAUGGUUUUGGAACUUAUGGUAUAAGUGGACAGUGAUGGAAUAAAGAGCUACAAAGAGGAGGAUUUGCAUAAACAUGGCUUGGCUGGCGACCAAUUUCAAUUCUCAGGAUUGUCCUAACUAUAAUUUAAAUAUAUUUAUUUAUAAAUUGGAGGAUUGUUCUUCUGCGUCAAUUUAAUUAGACAGUUGGAUUUGCACGCUUCCUUCCCCUCCUUGACUGCUCAAUAGUGGAAAAUUCAACCACACAACAAUAAAUGAGAUAAGAUUUGGUAGCUUUCCAUAUUUUCUCUCUCAAUGAAACUUCAACGCAAUUGCUCAAUUUUCAACAAAUGAUAACUAUUACAAAUUUAUCAUAAAAUUCAUAUACUAAAUUUCUAUUAAAUAAAGAAAAGCAUAGUUAUAAAAAACAUAAAACAUAUAUAUGCAUUAUUGUUUUUUUUUUUACAUUCUUUUUUAUGAUUAACUUUGAAGAUUAUAAAUUUAACAAAUUUAAUUAAUUAAUAUGAGUUAUCAAAUUAAAUUGAUCAAUUUAACAAGUUUAUUUGAUUAAUUAUGAAGUUUAUGAUGUUCUGAAUUCAUAUUAAAAUAUGUAUUGAAUUGAUAUCUUUUAUUUCAAUCAUUGGAAUGUUAUUUUAAUUAAAUAAAAUAUGAUUAAAAUAUCUUUUGAUGUUAAUUUUAAAUAUUUUAUUGAAAUAAUAUUUUAAUUAAGAUCAUUUUAUUUAAUAAGUUAUAAUUAAUAGGUUUUCUUAUAUAAAAUAGUUAUAAUUUUACUUAAAAUUUUAGAUAAUAUGUUCUUAUAGAAAUUUGUCGAUUGAAUCCUAGCUCAGUUGGCAUUGACAUUGUUGUCUAUAUAGGAAGACGUGAGUUUGAGUAUAUUAAAACCUAGUUUCCUAUUUCUUUUAGGUUCUUAACGUUCUUACCCUUUUUUUUGGCAAUUUUCGAAAAGGAUCUAUUAUGCUUUAAUUUCUAUUAUAAUUUGGUCCUUGUAUUUUUAUAAUAUUAUUAAAUAGUUAAAAUAAUUAAUAUAAUUAAUUUUUAGAUUAAAUUAAAUAUAAAUUUUUUUAAAUAAAAUAAAAUUAUAUUUUAAUCUUUAAAUUUUAACUUCGUAAUCUAACAAAAAUAAAUUCUAAUGUGGUGAUGGAAGAGGCCUGAAAGUAAAGUCAGGAAUACUGUAGCUGUACUAGGAACGCUUUAGUCUACGAUUGACUUUAUCAUAAUUAGUUCCUACACUUGCAUAUAAUCUAGAAUUGAUUUUCAAAAAUAUUUUUAAGAUCAAAAGUAUUUUCGAGUCAUAAAUAAUAUUAAAUAGAUAAUUUUUGAAGUUAGAAACACUUUCAAACUUAAAAACAAAAGUAAUUUUUUUCUAUUGUUGACAAAAAUAUUUUUAGGAAUAAAGAAUAAUUUUAACUCUUAUAAAGUAUUUUAUAUAAUAUUUAAAUUGACUAUGUAAUUAUUUUCAUAUUAAAAUUUAUUUUAAAUAUAUAAUAUUAUAUAUUUAAAUUAAAUUUUAUAAAUAAUUAGUAAAUUACUUAAAAAUAUUUAAAAUUUAUAUUUCAUAUAUUAAAAUAUUAACAAAAAAAUUAAAAUUUUUAUUUUUUACUAAAAUAUUAUAAUAUUAAUUAAUUUAAACAUUAUUUAGAUGCAUAUAUAUUAUUUUAUAAUAUCAGGUCUAAAAUAAAUAUUUUAUUUCUCAAACUUAUUUUUUAACAGUAAUACUAAACACUUAAAUCUUAAAUUAAAAUUUUCAAAUUUAUUUUUACAGAAAAGAAACCGAUGAAAAGGCAUAAUAUUAUUUUAUUGUAAAUUCUUUUUAAUUGAUUUGAACCAAUUAAGUCAUUAGAAUUUUAUGUUGUAAACUAGAUUUGUCCCCGUUGGUACUGUCCCAUCACAAUGAAAUUUUGCUACUCAUAAUUUUGACUUUUUUAUAAAAGUAACUCUAAAAAAUAAAUUAAUUAUCAAAAUAAUCCACCCUUUUAAUUAUGUACAAAAAUAACUUAUUUUCUACAGUAAAAAGUGGUGGAGCCAUAUGAUAUGGCGCCACCACUUUGCCACGUUAACCAGGGGUAUUAAAAAAUUUUUUUUGGUGGAGCCAUGUUGAAUGGCGCCACCAGUAUAAAAUAUUAGAAAAAUACUAAAAAAUCUAGAAAAAUGGGGGACUUAAAAAAAUUUUCAUUUUUGGGUGGAGCCAUUUUAAAUGGUGCCACUACUUUUCAGAUUUGUUAAGUUCUUUUUUUUUUUUACUUUUUUUACUUUUUUUCUUAUAUUUUGUCUCUUUCUUAGAUUUUUUUCUUUUUAAGUUUUAUAUUAUUUUCUUAAUUUAUUUUGCUUAUUUAAUUUAUAUUAUUAAUUUUAAAAAAUUUGUAAUAUAUAUUUAAAAUGUUUUAUAAUACUUUUUUUAAAAUUUUAAUUAUUAUUUUUAAAAAUAUUUUUUAACUUCAUAUAUAUAUUUGUGAAAUUAAUUUUUUAUAAAUUUUAAAAAUGUAUUUUUCAAAUUAGUUUUGAAAUUAUUAGUUUUAUAAUAUUUGAAAUGUAUGUUUAAUAUUUUAUUAAUUUUACAUACAAUUUUAAAUAUUAUUUUUAAAUUCUUUUUUUAUCAUUAGGUAUAUAUAUUUAAAGUUUAAAGUUUAAAUUAAAAUAUAUAUAUUUAUUAUAACUAGUCACAUCAUGUCAGUGAUGUGACUAUUAAUAAAUUCAAAUAUAAAUAUAAAUUUUAAAAAAUAUAUAUUAAAUAUUAUUUUAUAAAUAUUAAAUAUAUAUUUUUCUUUUUUUUACUCUUUUUAUUGUUUUGUUUUUCUUUUAUUUAUUAUUAUUAACUUUAAAAAAUUUGAAAUACUUUAUUAAUAUAUAUAUUUGUAAAUUUUAGAUAUGUAUUUUGAGAUUAUUUUUUAAAAUUUUAUAUAUAAUUUUUAAAUACAUUUAAAAAAAUUAUAAUUUUUUAAUAAUAUAAGAAAUCAUAAUCUUUUAAAUAUUUUUUAAAAUUUUUUCUUUUUCCUUUUUUUACUUUUUUGAAAUUUUAUGUUUUUUUUCUUCUUUUAUUUUGUUUAUUUAUUUUAUUAUCAAUUUUAAAAAUUUUGUAAUGUAUAUUUAAAAUGUCUUAUAAUAUAUUUUUUACAAUUUUAAAUAUUAUUUUUAAAUUCUUUUUUAUAUUUAAAUUUUAAAGUUUAAAUUAAAAUAUAUAUAUUUAUUAUAACUUGUCACAUCAUGUCAAUGAUGUGACUAUUAAUAAAUUUAAAUAUAAAUUUAAAUUUAAAUAUAUAUAUUAAAUAUAUAUUUUUUAUUAUUUUGACUCUUUUUAUUGUUUUGUUUUAAAAAAAAAGAUUUUGUUAUAUAUAUGGGUGGCUUGGUCCCCCUUUAUAGAUGAAAAAGUUAAGUGAGGAAAAAAAAAAGGUACAUUUGUUAAAAUUUUAUUUUUUUAUUUUUAUAUUUUAUAGUUAAUGUAAUAUAAUAAAUAAUUGUAUUGUAUGUUUGUUUUUUUAUAUUAUACAGAUUUGAAGAUGUCUUCUAGAGCAAAUACGGAUCACACUUCAUCGAUGAUCGACGAAACAGUAAAAUUUAUUAUAAAUUAAAAAAAAUUCAGUUCAGUUUCCCAAUUUUUUUUGUUAAUCGCUACUCUGUUGAACAUGUUUUGACUGCUUUAAAAUACUUAUCUCUAAUUAGUUGUUAUUUAGCUUCUGUUGAACAUUUUAGAUUAUUAAUUUGAUUAUACUUUGUAAUACUUUAUUUUUGUUAUAAUUGACUUAGAUAUACAUUAUUUGUAAUUGUAUUUGUAUACUUUAAAAAAAGUUAGUAGCACUCACCUCCAAACAUCUAAUUUAAUCACACAAAUUAUAAUAGAAUAGAUAUAUUAUAAAAAUAAAUUAGGAUAUUUUCAUUUUUUUAAAUAACUACCCCUUAAAAUCGACUUACUUAAAACUUUACUCUAUUUUUACUAAUUUUAUACUUAAUUUAUUAGACGGUGUGUAGGGAUUAAUACGCAAAACUAUUACUUGACGAGCUCGAUUUAUGAAAAAAAUUCUUUUAAUUUUAAUAUAUAUAUUAUUAAAACAAUAAUAAUAAAAGUGAAUAUAUUUGAUUAUUUACUAGUCAAUUUAUAAAUAACUAGAAAACAUAAGUAUUUGUUUAAAAAAUACUUUAUGUUUUUAAAUUUUAUAAUAUAAAAAAAUAUUAGUAUUCCUUGAAAAAUAAUUUUUCGCUAUUACUCACUUUAAAUUUUGAAUAAGAUAUCAUAAAAUUUUAAAAUUAGAAAUAUAUACGUAUUGUAGCCAUUGGUGUCAAAUUGAACUUGCUUGAACCAAUCAUCUUCUCUUGAGUUGCUUUUUGGUUUGGACUUAUUUUUUACACUGGUGGAGUUUGAGUUGCUGCUCAAUGAAUUUCUCUUUUCUUGUAAUUUUACUAGUUCCCAGUUCAUAUUCCUGUAAUUUCUCCCAUUCUUUUAUUAUUAAUAUAUUUAUUUUAAUUAAUUUAAUGCUUAACUAUGGUUAGGAUAUAAUAAUCACAUUUAAUUUCUACGUGUUAAUAUUAAUAUUUUAUGACAAAUUUUCAUUCUAUUAUUAAUAUAUUAUUACUUAUUUAAUUUAACUUAAAUAAAAAAAAUACUUAGAAUGGUUACGUUGGUAUAAUAUAAGUGUGAUGUUUUUGUUUUCUCAACCUUUCAAUUUUACUCUUCAAUAUAUUUUUUUAUGUUUAAAUUAUAUAGAUAAUUGAUUUAUCAUAUUUUUAUAAAAAAUUUACCAUACAGGAUGGUUAUCGGGUUUUGAGGUUACGGUGUCAUUUUCCCAAGUACGAUCCGGACGAGCGGAUCAUGCCAUACUUACGGUUGGCCGGAUUUGGGGACGUCACAUUGAUCCGGAGGUUUGACUUGAGGCCAAACUUACUAUUCGCCUUGGUUGAGCGGUGGUGUACGGAGACCCACACCUUCAUUAUGCCGUGCGGGGAGUGCACUAUCACAUUAGAAGACGUCGCUAUGCAACUUGGGUUACUAGUUGACGGUGCUGUGGUCACGGGUCGAAGCAAAGUGUUGGAACCUUCUGUAGUAUGCCACAGAUUGCUUGGACGGUCCCCUCGUGAUGGGGAACAGAAUUUCACAUGCUUGACAUUAGCAUGGUUGAGAGCAAAUUUUAAGAAGUUAUCGAGCACUGCCACUAAGUAGAAGGUAAUGUAUGCUGCUUGAGCCUAUAUUAUGCAGCUGAUUGGGGGGUACUUCUGCCGAACAACACGUCUAAUAGAGUCCACUUAAAGUACUUGCCUCUAUUGGAGGAUUUUUUUCAUACCGGUAGUUACAGCUGGGGAUCUGCAGUGUUGGCUGCAUUAUACUAUGAGCUCUGUCGUGCAACAAAACAUGGGGUUAGUAAUAUGGCUGGUUGUCUGGGUCUACUGAAGUCUUGGGCUCUAUACAGGAUGCCGUUUCUAGCGGCUGUUAGGCACCAACCAUAUUCGUGGCACUUAUAAAUAGGUAAAAACAAAAUUAUACUUAACAUUUAACGACUCAUAAGUGUGGGUAAUAUUUUUCAAAGUUUAACUGCCAACGUGUUUGUUUCGAUUUCAGAUGGGCGACGUCUCCGGGAAUUGGUGCGAGCCAGACAUUAAUCAUUUACCGUCAAAUGAUAGAGGCGUACGCCGGAGAGAAAGUAAUAUAUAUAUUAAUAUAGUUUAAGUAACGUUUAUUUAACUUAUCCACUUACAGUAUGUGAUGUGAAUUGACUCAUUAUGUUAUAUUGUGCAGUUAUUAUGGAUGUCGUAUUCUGCAGUAAACAUUGCAACCCUUAUUCCUCAGAGGGUUCACGCUGAAGCUCGUAUGUGGUGCAUUAACACGCCGGUGCUCAACUUCUCAAUCGUUGAGUGGUACAACGGUGAUCGAGUUAUGCGACAAUUUGGGUGUAAACAAUUUGUGCCAGUCGAGCCACAACAGUUUGCUAAUGUCCACGGUAAGACCAUGCAGGGGAGACAUACAUUAGAUUGGAGCGUGGAACAUCAAUGUUAAGUAGCACUAUGGAAUACCCAGUACAACAGGCGGCCUGAGAUGCACUCCUGCAUGUUUGACUUCAGUCCCUCGACUGAAUAUAUGUGGUACAUGAAUCGAUGGCGAGUUUAUUUAUAUGAUCGACAACUUAUGAUAGUACCAGGUCACGACUACAGACGUGGAAAUCAACCUACGGUGGAGGUAGAGGAUCAACAUAUGGCAGAGCCCGACUCGGAGGACCAAGUUUUAAACACAUCGAAGCAAUGGGUUGACACUUUUUGUGAUUUGUCCCAGAAUAGUUCAUAUAACCCGGACAUAGGUGGUUCGAGUUCAUAUCACCCGGAUAUAUGCGGUUCGAGUCCAUUUAACCUAGAGCAACCACCGACAUCAGUUGAUAUGUUUGGUAAUAACAUGUACUCCACCCCGCCUCAGGCCACGAUCGACCCAGUUGCCAAUCCUUCAGAUGUGUACAAUACACCUCAACGUCCACCCCGUCAACGAAGGCCCGUAAAUCGUUAUACCCCGAACGAUGAUACCACUCCUGGGUCUUUCCAAUUUUAAGUUAUGUAAAUUUCAAGUAUUAUGUGAUAUUUGUUGUAUUGGUUUAAGGUUUCACAACUUAUAUAUUAGUGUUUUUUAUUUAAUUUAUUAUAAAAUCUUUUAAAGUAUUAAAAGUUGCAACUAUUAAUUAUAAAUAUAAUUUUAACACUAAAUAAUACAAACUUUAUUUCUAAAAGAUCAUAAUAUAGACAGACCUCAGUUACAACAUUUAAUUUCUUUCAGACCGUGAAGAUUGGCCAGUGUAGACGCUUCUAUGGGGACAUUUGCUCCGAUUGUGGCCAAUUGUUCUACAUAUGGUGCAACGCUUUGGAUCGACUUGUUCUCUUACAUCCAUGUCGUUUCGAAUCCUCGUUAUUGUUAGUUUACCUUUGACUCUACUACGUAGUGACCGAUCAGGCAACAUCUCGAAUGCAGGCGAUUACGCUUCCCAUGUCGAUAUAUCCCUUAAUACAGGGAAAUCGUUACCCCAAAUACGCAACGUACGUUCAAGUGUGUAUACAUCAUCGAUAUAUUGUUUAACAUUCAAACUAUAGGUAGCACAAGCUGCAACCACAUGCGCACACGGGUACCGUAGUGCUUGGAACAUCCCGCACUCACACCGCCUGUUUCAGAGAUCAACUCCAUAGGAUCGUGGCCGGAUCCCUGACCGACGACUGAUAUACUUUGUCACUCGAAAAGUUUCCAAAUUUCGAGAAUAUAGUUCUACAUUCAUCAACCUAGCCCUUUGAGUGUUAUCUUUCAUGGCAUCUCUGAUUUUUUCGACGUACACGUGUCCGACCUCUAACUGUUUUGCUUGUUUCAACCCCAUUUUUGGUAUUAAGAUUGCUAACCUGUAAAAUGUAGCUGAAAAAACAGCUGAAAUUGGCAAGUGACGCGUAUGCCUUAAGACGGAGUUAACGGCCUCAACAAGGUUAGUUGUCAUAUGGCCAUAACGGUACCCCUCGUCAAAACAUUGAGCCCAUUGCCACGGCUCCAUGCUACUCAACCACUGUGUAAGAGAAGGUUUGCAGCCCGCCAUAUCAGUCUCUAAGCUCGCCAACUUAUGUCUAAAUCGGUGUGGUUCCAGCUCGUACCCUAUGUAUAUAUUCCGAUAAAAUGCUUUAAAAUUAGGAAAUAGACUAGAAAUAAUUACAAAUACGAAUUUAAAUACGAUAUUUUUACCCAUGUUGACAAUUCGUUUACGCCAGUAUUUGUUCUUAUACUCAUUGUGGAAGGUCACAGUGAAGUGACGAAUACAAUAGACAGACCUCCACGGAACCUUCGAUUGCCGAAUUGCAGCAACAAGACCCUUUGAUUUGUCAGAUAUAAUGCAAAUUUGUCAGAUAUAAUGCAAAUGUUAUCUUGCCUGACAACAUGCUUCCGUAAGUUUCGAAUGAAAUAUGCCCAUGAUUUAGAGUUCUCCGACUCUACGAUGGCAAAAGCGAUUGGUAGUACAUUUCCAUUACCGUCUUGUGCAACCGCAAUCAGAAGUAUCUGCGUGUAUUUUCCAUAAAGCCAUGUUCCAUCAACUUGCACUACCAGUUUGCAGUGGGAGAAGGCCCUAACACAUAGAUCGAAAGUCUAGAACAAUCGACGAAACACUCUUUUUCCCAGUUCUAAUUCUCCAUUAGGGCCUCUAUAAGGCAACGUUUGCAAGUCCACGACAGUUCCUGGGACAUACUCUACCAUUGCUGAAAUCCAACUCUGAAGUUCAUUGUAUGACUUAUCCCAGUCGCCGUACAAUUGUUGCAUGGCCAUUUGUUUCGCCCACCACGCUUUCCUGUAUGACACUCUGCACUGAAAUUGAGCUUGCAUGUCUGCAAUCAAUGUCGACACAAGAAUGAUUGGGCUAUCUUUCACUAGUGGCAUGAUGCAGUUACAAAUACUUUUGGCAUCCAAUUUUCGGUGGUCUUGAGACAUGCGUGCGACAGUACAUGUAUGACGCCCUUCUAAUUUUCGUAUUUGCCAUUGUUGAAUCCUCUGUAUAAAUGCAGCACGAACUGACAACCACACCCAUCGUCGGCUCUCCAACAUUCCCCAACGUAUAAUGUCGGUGUAGAUUUGGCAACCUUGUAAUCAAUCGACAACUUCAUGCUGUAUUGUUUGAUGGAAAACACACAAUCCGUCUUGUUCUUGAACUGUUGCCUAAUGAACAACUCGUCAAACUGUGAACUUGAUGCCAAUUUAUGAGCAGGUACUAUAUCAGCGUACUCAGGGAACUCGGAUGCAUGUGCUACAUCUGGAUCUACGUUCAACAUGUUGCCCCCAGGUUCAUUUCGUAAAAUAAUACUAUGACUCGGGUUACAGAAUGAAAGGCCGUGAACAUCUUCAACCUCCUUCGGGCCUUCAUCAUCGAUAUCGUUCGGAAUCUCAUCAACAUCGGGGUCACUAAAAUCUUCAACGUCUUAAUCAGAAUCUUCACCAUUAUUGGUCAUUUCUCUGACAUUUGUCUCAGUACUUAUUAUCACCUCCGGAUGUAUUUGUAAACAGGGACCGAGGGUUGGGUUAUUGUAUGAACUCCCACUAUAAUUAGGAAUUUUGGGUAUCUGCGACGUUCCACCGCAUUCUAAUUGGCCUGUCCAUCUAACAUUAAGAUCAAGAUCAAAUUCGCAAUGUUGACUUAUUGGGCUAACAUUCUCAACAGGCUCUAAAUCUGCUAACUUAGCAAAUAAUUCAACUGGUUGGGGGUUCACACUCCCAGUGGACCACCAUAUUUUCAUCAUAGUGCCCAAGUCAUCAUCAUCUAACAUUUGCAUCGCACAAAAUUUGAACGGAUCUGUAGAGAUUGGAAAAUUGUAAAAUAAUUUGGACAUCGCCCUUCCACAACGGAUAGUUAUUUUCGCACUGAUCUUCCUUUUCAUUUCUGCUAGCUUCACAUUUUUUUUAAUCGCAAACCUACUCUUUGCCGGCCUUGAAAUACACAACCAAUAUCACCUUCUACAAUUUCACCAUAAAAAAUAACAUACACCAAAAACACCUCAUUAUUCAUUUUUAACAAAUUUUUUAAACUUUUCCACUUAACACAACAACUACACCAUUCUAUACAUAGAAGAGAACCAAGAGGUGGAGCCAUAAAGAAUGGCUCCACCAAAAUAUUGUGAUUUUUUAGAGUAUAGGGGGCCCCGUAGCAAUUUUACCAUUUCCUGGUGAAGCCAAAUAAUUUGGCGCCACUAGUUUUCAAGUCUGACAGCUAACUUAUUUGUUUCAGCCUUUUUUUUAAAAAAGUUUUGACUUUCUUUUUUUCUUUUUUAAGUCCUUAUUUAUUUUAUUUAUUUCGAAAAACUUGAAAUUUAUUUUUUAAAAAUGUUUUAUAAUAUAUUUUUUAUAAAUAUUAAAAAUAUAUUUAAUAUUAUAAAACAUUUAAAAUGAUUUAAAAUAUUUUUUAAUAUUUUAAAUGAUUUUAAAUAUUUUUAAAAUUUUACAUAGAAUUUUGAAAUUUAUAAUUUUUAUUUAUUUUUAAAAAUAUUUAACAUUUUUUUAUUUUUUAUACAAAUUUUAUUUAAAAAUUUAAAUGUUUAAAUGUUUUAUAUUAUUAAAAAAUAAAAACAAAAAUAAAUUUGAAAGAUCAUAUCUUUAAAUUAUUUUAAUAUUUUAUAUUAUUAAAAUAUGGUUAAUAUUUAAAAAUAAUAUUUAUAAUUUUCAAAAAUUAAUUUGAGAAAUAUACAUUUAAAUUUAAAAAAAAUGUAAAACUGAUAUUUAAAAUUUUAACAAAUAUAUAUUAUAGAACAUUUCAAAUAUACAUUACAAACUUUUAAAAAUUAAUAAUAAGAAAUAAAUAAAUUAAAUUAACUAAAAUAAAUAACAAAAAAAUUAUAAAAUCUUAAUUUAAACAUUCUAUGUAAAAUUAAUAAUAUAUUAAACAUACAUUUCAAAUAUUAUAAAACUAAUAAACAAAAUACAAUAAGAAAAUAAUAUAAAACUUAAAAAAGAAAAAAAAUUAAAGAAAAAGACAAAAUCUAUGAAAAAACUAAUCUAAAUUUAAUUUGAAAUGUAUAAUAAAAAUAAAUAAAAUAGAUAAACAAAAUAAAAUAAGAAAAAAUUAGACUUCAAAAAACCUAAAAAAAAAAAGAAAAAUAAUUAUUUUUUUAAAAUUUUAAAAAAUUAAUUUGAAAAAUAUAUUUUUAAAAUUUAUAAAUAAUUAAUUUCACAACUAUAUAUAUAAAGUUAAAAAAUAUUUUUUAAAAAUAAUAAUUAAAAUUUAAAAAAAAUAUUAUAAAACAUUUUAAAUAUAUAUUACAAAUUUUUUACAAUUAAUAAUAUAAAUUACAUAAGUAAACUAAAUUAAGAAAAUCAUAUACAACUUAAAAACAAUCUAAGAAAGAGACAAAAUAUAAGAAAAAAAAGUAAAAAAGUUAAAAAGUUAAAAAAGUAAAAAAAGUAAAAAAAAAAUAUAAGAACCUGACAAAUCAGAAAAGUGGUGACGCCAUUUAAAAUAGCGCCACCUAAAAAUAGAAUUUUUUUAAGUCCCCAAUUUUUCCAUAUUUUUUAGUAUUUUCUUAGUAUUUUAUACUGGUAGUGUCAUUCAAUAUGGCUCCACCAAAAAAUAUUUUUUAAUACCCCUGGCUGACGUGGCAAAGUGAUGGCGCCAUAUCAUAUGGCUCCACCACUUUUUACCGUAGAAAAUGGGUUAUUUUUGUACAUAAUUAAAAAAAUGGAUUAUUUUGAUAAUUAAUUUAUUUUUUAGUGUUACUUUUAUAAAAAAGCCCAUAAUUUUCUAUUUAUGACUUCAUCCUAUCACUACUAUUAGAGGUGUUCAUAAUUUUAUUGCUUUAUUUUUGUUUAAAUUUGGUCUUGUUUAAAAUACAAGUUUAGAAUUUUAUUUAAUUUUAAUUUAAGCUCAUUUUUAUUAUUUUUAAAAAAAUAUUUUUAUUAUUUUUAUUUAACAUUUAAUUUUUUUAUAUAUUUUUUAUUUAUUAAAAUUUUUUAUAUAAUCAUAUUAACAUUAUUUUAAUAUUUACAUUAGAGUAGUAUUAUAUAUUCAGUAUAUAUUUAUUUUUUACUGUGCUGUAAAUUACAUAAUAUAUAAAAAUAGCAUAAUAUAAAAUAUUAUAAACUUAAAAACGAGAUGAAUUGGACUCGGACCUUAAUGUUCAAGCCUAGCCCAUUUUUUAAAUUGGCUUAAUUUUUUACCCAAAUUUAUUUUUCGAACCUAAUAUUUUUAUACAAACUAUCUCAAAUUUCGAACUAAAUUUCAACCGUAAAAAAAAUAACAGUUGAUCCUCCCUUUUAUUUUUUUACGGUUGAUAAAAACAAUUUAACCAAGAAAAUAUUAAAUGAGUUGUUGAUGGGGUUAUUAUUAUAUUACUUAAAAAUUUAGCACUUAAUUAUUAAAUUAAUACUAAAGUCAUUAAAUAGGGGUGAAACAUAAAAGUCUAGAAAUGUGGAGGUUGAAUAUUAGGCAUUCUAGAAGAUUAUUGACUUCCAAGUUCAAACAUGAUAAGGUCAGGAAAAACAAGACCUGUUUGUAGAAAAUAUAAAAAAUGUAAAGCGUAAAAGAUAGAAAUGGAGAAAAGUAGUGUGAAGGUCCCUUAUUCCACAAUUUUCAUUUCAAACAGGGCCCGCCCAACCCCUGACUUUCAUUUUGGUGCCCAUUGGCUAACAAGUUACCCACUAUCUUAAAUAGCUAUAUUGCUAAAUUUAGCACUUAAUAUUUAUCUUCUUUUAUCAAUUUCAUCCUUAUAUUUUUGUUAAAUUUGACUUUCGAUUUAUAUAAAUGGUCAACUUUGAUCAUUAAUUUUUUAUAAUAGAUUCAAAACUGUUUUUUUAAUGAAAAUAAUGACUUAAACGUUUAAUUUUUAAAAUUACAAUCAUGGGCAGGAGUCCUAGUAAGGGCUCUAAUCCCAUAAAUUUCAUAAAAUUUUAUUUAAACCCUUUUAAUUUUUAAAAUUUUAAUUUGAACUUAUAAUUCAUGUCGAAAAAUAGAUUGAAUUUGCGCUUGGCCCCUGAAGUAUUCCAAUGUUUUUUUUGACAUAAAGAUAAAUUUAGCCUCUAAUGUUUCCUUAUUUUGUCAUUUUGACUCCAAUUCUCUUUUUUGGGUCAUUUUGGCUCUCAACCUUUAAACUGACUAAAAUGUUAAAUUUUAAAUGGAAUUGACAUGGUAGCUCAUGUGACCUUUUACGUGUACUUCACUGCUAACAUGGAUAAAUUUUCUAAAAGUUUUUAUAAACUUUCUUUGAAAUUAGUUGAUUUUUUAAAUAUUUUUCAAUUCAACUUUAAUUUCUGUUUUUAUUUUAUUUUUCCAGAUCGAAAUUCUUAAUUCUAUUUUUUAUUUUUCAGGAACGCAAGUUUUCUUGGCCAAGAAAUUGUCCAAGAUUUCAAGAAACGAGCAUUCGUACAAUCCGGUCCCUGAGGAUUCUACCCUACUUCCCAUUUACUGUUAUUUUUACUAUUUUACAGAGAAGAGGAUAUUUUUGGUGCUCUCAACCACGCAUCACCAGAGAAGAUAAUCAGGAUGCUGAUAGAAUGGUUAAACUAGUGCAUUAUAAAUCUUAUGAUUUGUGCUUGUAUGAGACCUCCUCGUUGGGGGAGAUGAUUUAGGCUUUAUAAUUAGUUUAAGUACUCUUUUUGUCACUAAAAAUAUAUAGUUGAAGUACUAAAAUAAAAAAAAUGUAACACCCUCAUACCCGUACCCGAGACCGGGAUAGGAUACGAGGCAUUACCGAGAUUUUCAGAAUAAUUUCAAUUAAUUUAUAUUAUUUUGCAUUCAUUUUCAUGUUCAUGUAACAUCUUUUUCAUAUAUUCAAUUCAAACAUCAUAUAAAAUACAAUAUAAUAUUUAAAUUGUCAUAUUUACAUGCUCAUUCAAGUUAUACGGACCUACCUGACUAAAUUGCAGAAAUACCAAGAUUUAGGGGUAUUUUGGUAAUUUACCUUUUUUUUCAAUUUUCACCCAAUCUUAAAUUGAUAAUUUCAUUCAAUUUAUUAAUUUAGAUAAUAAAACAACUCAUUCCCUUCAAUCUUGUCAUUUUUGACAUUUUUAUAAAAUUACCCCCUAAAGUUUUACUUUUAUUCAAUUUAGUACCUGAGCCUAAAACAUGCAAAUUAGCCAUGCUAGCUGAAUAUUCAUAUAUAUUUUUCUCCUCCUCCUUUCCACUUAAUGUAUAUAUCAUGCUUAUAAGUAACAUUAUCAAUAAUUUCACUACUGACUUAUUUAUAUAUUCAAAACUAUCCAUCCGUGUCAUAGUCACUAAAUCAUUUAUAUCUAGAGCUAUGGUACUUCAAAUUAAGAUCCGCUAAUUUUCUCUGAAACUAGACUCAUAUAUCUUCUUACCAUAAAUUUUUCAGAAUUUUUGGUUUAGCCAAUAAGUACAGUUUAUUCUUUAAAUUUACCCCUAUUCUGCUGUCUGACAGUUCCAACCCUUCUUCACUAAGAAUUAAUUAUCUCAUCGUACAGGAUUCGGAUGAUGUUCUCGCUUAUUUCUCUUGAAAUAAACUCAUUAAGUAUUUUAAAAAUAUAAAUUUAAUCCUUAAUUAUUUUUCUCCAAUUUUUUAUGAUUUUUUAAAGUCAGAACAGGGAACCUGAAAUCAUUCUGACAUUGUCUCACUAAAUUUAUUAUAUCUCACAGUUCACAAUUCCAUUGCCUACACCGUUUCUUCUAUAAGAAACUAGACUCAAUAAGAUUUAAUUUCAUAUUUUUUUCAUACUCUAGUUCGAUUUUCAAAAUUUAUGGUGAUUUUUCAAAAUUAGCCUACUGCUGUUGUCCAAAACUAUUUUAGUGCAAGAUGUUUAUUUACCAUAAAAAAUGUAAGGGAUACCCAUGUUAGGGUAGUAAUUGGUUGGUCGUCUAACCGUGUUAGCAGUGUACUUGAUCUUAGGCACCUACUGGUCAUGCUCAAAAAACCAAUGAAAGAAGAAAGAGAUAAUGCUAGUAAAAGAUGUAUACAAUUAUUAAAUAUUAAAUAAUUAUAUUUAAAAAUAAAAACUAAUAUGUACGGCUUAAACAAGCAUAUGUAUCCAAACAGGAAGCUCUUCAUCUUAGUACUAGUUAAUACUCGAAACAAAGGGUUUAUAUUUGGGAAAGCAAGGGAACAAAUGGUUGGCGUGGUCGACACUUAGCCUGUAAAGGUUGAGCCUUGGGCAUGGUAAGGCCUGGCCCUUCGCUCAUAUCCACCAUCUCUUCACCUUUUCUCUCCCACUCAAAGCAUUGAAUCAGUGACCCCAAAGUUAAUCCAACCAUCCGCAUGGCUAACCCUUCUCCGGGACACCGCCGCCUCCCGUUCCCGAAUGGCAUUAACCUGAACGCGAAGUUCGACGGAUCUAAACCCUCGAAUCUCUCUGGCUUGAACACAUUAGGCUCCUCCCAAUUGUUGGGAUCGUUUUGUAUAGCCCAUGCAUUCACCAACAACAUGGUUCCACGCGGUAUACGGUACCCUCCCACUAAACAUUCUUUUGAUGACUCGUGAGGUACUAACAAUGGACCGGUGGGCUUGAUUCGAAAAGUCUCGUUAAUUAUACAAUGAAGAUAAAGAAGAUUGGGCAAAUCUGAUUCUUCGAUCAACCGAUUUUGUCCGACCACUGUAUCAAUUUCAAUUCGGGCUUUGUUCAAGACUUGG